CUCUAUGGCCAUACCACCCUGAACAUGCCCAAUUUCAUCUGAUCUCAGAAAUUAAGUAGGGCUGGGCCUGGUUAAGUACUUAGAUGAGAGAAAUGCUUUACAUAUAAGACAAUUACCUGGCAUCAAAGUAU
Molecule: ribosomal RNA, 131 nt
Organism: Castor canadensis (American beaver)
Lineage: Eukaryota; Metazoa; Chordata; Mammalia; Rodentia; Castoridae
Source: Ensembl